Small nucleolar RNA from Sorex araneus (European shrew), 118 nucleotides. NCBI's taxonomy places the organism in Eukaryota, Metazoa, Chordata, Mammalia, Eulipotyphla, Soricidae. The record is from Ensembl.
UGUACAUUUGUCUUAAAAGUUAUUUUACAGUGAUGAUAAUUUUUUGUAAAUGUCCUAGAGAAAUAUCUUUGUGUACCUUUGCAAGUAUAAAGGAUACAUCAUUCCACUACUGACAUUC